RNAcentral lists this ribosomal RNA (387 nucleotides) under uncultured bacterium. Its description in RNAcentral is "bacterial SSU rRNA". It matches the Rfam family "Bacterial small subunit ribosomal RNA", at positions 30 to 414 of the family's 1533-position model. The record is from RNAcentral.
AUUGAACGCUGGCGGCAUGCCUUACACAUGCAAGUCGAACGGCAGCACGGGAGCUUGCUCCUGGUGGCGAGUGGCGAACGGGUGAGUAAUACAUCGGAACGUACCCUGAAGUGGGGGAUAACGUAGCGAAAGUUACGCUAAUACCGCAUAUUCUGUGAGCAGGAAAGAGGGGGAGUCGCAAGACCUCUUGCUUUAGGAGCGGCCGAUGUCGGAUUAGCUAGUUGGUGAGGUAAAGGCUCACCAAGGCGACGAUCCGUAGCGGGUCUGAGAGGAUGAUCCGCCACACUGGGACUGAGACACGGCCCAGACUCCUACGGGAGGCAGCAGUGGGGAAUUUUGGACAAUGGGCGCAAGCCUGAUCCAGCCAUGCCGCGUGAGUGAAGAAGG